Molecule: transfer RNA, 77 nt
Filed under: Clostridia bacterium
Lineage: Bacteria; Bacillati; Bacillota; Clostridia
Description: tRNA-Arg
Source: RNAcentral
AUACCCGUAGUUCAACUGGAUAGAAUAGUCGCCUCCGACGCGACCGGUUCCGAGUUCGACUCUCGGCGGGUAUACCA